AUUGAACGCUGGCGGCAGGCCUAACACAUGCAAGUCGAACGGCAGCACGGCAGUAGCAAUACUGUGGGUGGCGAGUGGCGGACGGGUGAGGAAUACAUCGGGAUCUACCCUGUUGUGGGGGAUAACGUAGGGAAACUUACGCUAAUACCGCAUAAGAACUGAGGUUGAAAGCGGCGGACCGCAAGGCGUCGCGCGAUUGGAUGAACCGAUAUCCGAUUAGCUAGUUGGCGGGGUAAAGGCCCACCAAGGCGACGAUCGGUAGCUGGUCUGAGAGGACGACCAGCCACACUGGAACUGAGACACGGUCCAGACUCCUACGGGAGGCAGCAGUGGGGAAUAUUGGACAAUGGGCGCAAGCCUGAUCCAGCCAUGCCGCGUGAGUGAAGAAGGCCUCGG
RNAcentral lists this ribosomal RNA (396 nucleotides) under uncultured bacterium. RNAcentral describes it as "bacterial SSU rRNA". It matches the Rfam family "Bacterial small subunit ribosomal RNA", at positions 29 to 420 of the family's 1533-position model. The record is from RNAcentral.